AGUGGCAAACGGGUGAGUAACACGUAGGAAUCUACCUUGUAGUAUGGAAUAACAGUUGGAAACGACUGCUAAUACCGUAUACGCUCUUCGGAGGAAAGAUUUAUCGCUAUAAGAUGAGCCUGCGCUAGAUUAGAUUGUUGGUGGGGUAAUGGCCUACCAAGUCGAUGAUCUAUAGCUGGUCUGAGAGGACGAUCAGCCACACUGGGACUGAGACACGGCCCAGACUCCUACGGGAGGCAGCAGUGGGGAAUAUUGGACAAUGGGCGAAAGCCUGAUCCAGCAAUGCCGCGUGAACGAUGAAGGCCUUAGGGUUGUAAAGUUCUUUCAGUAGGGAAGAUAAUGACGGUACCUACAGAAGAAGCUCCGGCUAACUCCGUGCCAGCAGCCGCGGUAAUACGGAGGGAGCUAGCGUUUUUCGGAAUUACUGGGCGUAAAGCGCGUGUAGGCGGCUGAUUAAGUUGGAAGUGAAAUCCCGGAGCUUAACUCCGGAACUGCUUCCAAAACUGGUCAGCUAGAGAUUGGUAGAGGAUGGCGGAAUUCCUAGUGUAGAGGUGAAAUUCUUAGAUAUUAGGAGGAACAUCAAUGGCGAAAAGCAGCCAUCUGGACCAUUUCUGACGCUGACACGCGAAAGCGUGGGGAGCAAACAGGAUUAGAUCCCCUGGUAGUCCACGCCGUAAACCCACGAGUGCUACGUAUCCGA
RNAcentral lists this ribosomal RNA (700 nucleotides) under uncultured Alphaproteobacteria bacterium. RNAcentral describes it as "bacterial SSU rRNA". It matches the Rfam family "Bacterial small subunit ribosomal RNA", at positions 94 to 827 of the family's 1533-position model. Lineage: Bacteria; Pseudomonadati; Pseudomonadota; Alphaproteobacteria. The record is from RNAcentral.